UACGUAGGGUGCGAGCGUUGUCCGGAAUUAUUGGGCGUAAAGAGCUCGUAGGCGGCUUGUCGCGUCGACUGUGAAAACCCACGGCUCAACUGUGGGCUUGCAGUCGAUACGGGCAGGCUAGAGUUCGGUAGGGGAGACUGGAAUUCCUGGUGUAGCGGUGAAAUGCGCAGAUAUCAGGAGGAACACCGGUGGCGAAGGCGGGUCUCUGGGCCGAUACUGACGCUGAGGAGCGAAAGCGUGGGGAGCGAACAGG
This 253-nucleotide ribosomal RNA is filed under the name uncultured bacterium. Its description in RNAcentral is "partial 16S ribosomal RNA". It matches the Rfam family "Bacterial small subunit ribosomal RNA", at positions 524 to 776 of the family's 1533-position model. The record is from RNAcentral.